GACGAACGCUGGCGGCGUGCCUAAUACAUGCAAGUCGAGCGAAGUUUUUCUGGUGCUUGCACUAGAAAAACUUAGCGGCGAACGGGUGAGUAACACGUAAAGAACCUGCCUCAUAGACUGGGACAACUAUUGGAAACGAUAGCUAAUACCGGAUAACAGUAUUUCUCGCAUGAGAGAUAUUUAAAAGUUGGUUAUGCUAACACUAUGAGAUGGCUUUGCGGUGCAUUAGCUAGUUGGCGGGGUAAAGGCCCACCAAGGCGACGAUGCAUAGCCGACCUGAGAGGGUGAUCGGCCACACUGGGACUGAGACACGGCCCAGACUCCCACGGGAGGCAGCAGUAGGGAAUCUUCCGCAAUGGGCGAAAGCCUGACGGAGCAACGCCGCGUGAGUGAAGAAGGAUUUCGGUUCGUAAAGCUCUGUUGUUAGGGAAGAAUGGAUAUGUAGUAACUAUACAUGUAAGAGACGGUACCUAACCAGAAAGCCACGGCUAACUACGUG
RNAcentral lists this ribosomal RNA (499 nucleotides) under uncultured bacterium. Its description in RNAcentral is "partial 16S ribosomal RNA". It matches the Rfam family "Bacterial small subunit ribosomal RNA", at positions 28 to 507 of the family's 1533-position model. The record is from RNAcentral.